UGGGGCGUAGUUCAAUUGGCAGAACGUCGGACUGUUAAUCCGAAGGUUGCAGGUUCGAGUCCUGCCGCCCCAG
RNAcentral lists this transfer RNA (73 nucleotides) under Myxococcota bacterium. RNAcentral describes it as "tRNA-Asn". It matches the Rfam family "tRNA". From Rfam's summary of the family: Transfer RNA (tRNA) molecules are approximately 80 nucleotides in length. Their secondary structure includes four short double-helical elements and three loops (D, anti-codon, and T loops). The record is from RNAcentral. Lineage: Bacteria; Pseudomonadati; Myxococcota.